GCCAGGUAGGGUGGUGUGUGCCUGUACUCCCAGCUGCUUGGGAGGCUAAGAUGGGAAGGAUUGCUUGAGCCCAGGAGCUCUGGGCUGUAGUGCGCUGUGCCCAUCGGGUGACAUCCAUUGGGUGUCCGAACUAAGUUCAACGUCAGAAGCAGAGACCACCAGGCUGCCUAAGGAGGAAUGAACCAGCCUGCUUUGGAAACAGAGCAGCUGAAACUCCCGCGCUCACUAGUGAGGGGAUCACACCUGUGAAUAGCCACUUCUACCUGGGCAACACAGACUCUGUCUCU
This 287-nucleotide signal recognition particle RNA is filed under the name Cebus imitator (Panamanian white-faced capuchin). RNAcentral's name for it is "Metazoan signal recognition particle RNA (ENSCCAG00000001549.1)". It matches the Rfam family "Metazoan signal recognition particle RNA". From Rfam's summary of the family: The signal recognition particle (SRP) is a universally conserved ribonucleoprotein. The record is from RNAcentral. Lineage: Eukaryota; Metazoa; Chordata; Mammalia; Primates; Cebidae.